GUAGCAGUCGCAUACAAGACUAUCAGCAGAACAGGGUACUCCCGGGAUUGUACAUUUGGAGACAAUGACAAAUCUUGGAAGUUACAAUUUACCAGUGAUGGAUAUCACUUUGCGCACAACAAAGUCUUAACUGUUAUCUUAGGUCCGCAGUCCUCCAGAGUAGGAGUGUACCUGGAUCACAGAGCAGGUAUUCUGUCCUUCUACAGCGUCUCUGAAACCAUGACUCUCCUCCACAGAGUCCAGACCACAUUCACUGAGCCGCUACAUGCUGGACUGAGGUUAGGCUGGUCUUAUGGAACCUCUGUUGAGUUUAUUGAAGUGAAAUAAAGAGAAUUUUGAGUCAAUCAGACCAAAAACAUGUAAUGAGAUCAUUGAACUCUUGAAAUGUUUGUAAAUGUUUGUGGAUCAGUCUCACCAAAAACUCUCGGUUUAUUUCUUCAUUUCAGCUUUCUCUUUCUUUUCUAAAGAUGCUGAUUUGGUUGCAGCUUUAAGGACAGUGAUUGUGGAUAACUUUGAUUGUUUGUAUUUCUCAUUUUGAAAAAUCUUCAUAAAGUUUGAUAUCAACAACAUCAAGAUGAUCAUUUGUUCAAAUCACCUUUAGUUGGUGCAGAUUUUGAAGGUCUGAGACUUUAGAAAAAAGUGACGUCAAAAUAAGGAAAGAAAGAUGAAAAAGGGCAACCUUAUUUCCUGUCCCAAAUCCAACCGUCUAAAGUCUUUCCUGUCGUCCCCAAAAACUCUUUAGAUGAUCUGUUUCUUUCUCUGUUUGCUGAAUAUUUGUAUUCAUGUGAUCGAUGGGUAUUUCUGUCUGCUUCUGUUGGAUCAGUGUGUUUGUAAAGACAUCUAUAAUGAGACUUUUGUCAGAUCAACAUGUUAUGAGCUUUUCAAUCACGAUAAUAAUAAUAAUCACAUUCAUUAGUCCGACUGUUUUUAUGUUUCUGACUCAGCUCAGAUUGUGGUCAAGUCUCUGAUUGUGGGUGAAAACAAUAAAAAUCAUCAAACUGAGUCACUGAAAGUAUCUCGCCUGUUUUUCUUGAUGGUUUAGUGUAACGUCAGUGAGCCCAGACUGAAUGACCUGGGGGUUAGACAACAUGCUGCCCAAAAAGGAUAAAUAGGGGAAUCAGAAGAAGAAAGAGAGGAAAGAAAAAGAAAGAGGGGAGGCAGCUGUUGACUGCUUUCUUUCCCAAAGGUGAACCCAGUUUGUUCUGUAAAGUCCAGUUAAAGUUAACGUAGUCCACUCCAGACAGCUGCUGCUGAUGUUUGUAUGCUAACAUGAAGUCUUUAGCUUAGCUAGCUGCUAACCAGGCUGCUUGCUGCUGUGAGUAUAAAGAGAAUUAUGGGCUAGCUAACGUUAGCUGUCAACAUUAGAGAGAGAGAGAGUUGCUGACUAACUGCGAGUUUUUCCCCUUCAGUUGAAAGUAAGUUCGUCUUUUUGUUCAGUCCGUUUCCUUCAGCCUAUCGUCUACUAACACAGCAGAGCUAAAAGUUAACCUCUGCUGAGACUUAAUAAAUGAUCCACUUAUCAAUAUUAUGCUGCAUAUAUCAACAUGUCACUAACCUACCAAUAUCACUGUAGGCUCAAGUUCAUACUAGUAAUAUAUUAGCUGAGCAAUAAAGCAGUUAAUUUUUUCUGUCUGGUAAAAAGCCUGAACACUGUAGUGCAGUGCUGUGCUUAAAAGAUAUCAAUAAAUUCAUGAUGUUACCAAAGCCAAUGAAUAAUCAUUUUAAAUAACUGUGUUCAUAAUAUCAAUAAAAAAUAAUUAUGAUUAUGAUUUUUGCAAUAGAGAGACAGAGGUGUAGGUGGUGAGAACAUGGAGAACAUAGAAAAAAUAGCUAUUAGAACUACUCAUCAAUGUUAUCUGAUCUGAUUGUAGCUUUAAACUCUAUUUAUGCUUUUUUAGAGUUUACAGGGCCCAGAAUGUGGUGCUACGCCCCUGACUGUAACCAUGACAACAGCUAUGAGACCUACUGUAUCAUGAUAAUGAGCGAAAACGAUCACAUCAAUAUUGAACUCAGAGUUAAGAAGGAAAACUCUUCCUGGAUGUUAAAUUGAAGUGCUGGUUUCUUUAUUUCUUUGUGGUGUUUUCAUGUUUUUUCUUCUUUUAGUCGCUCGGUGAGGGUAAACCGAGUUUGUCUGCAGUUCAGCAGAAUCAGCAGGGAGCAGCCUGACUCACACAAAGUGGAAGCAAUAACAUUAAUGAUCCUCUAUAAAACGAGAGAAAUGCACUGUUUAUUGUUAGGAUAUUAUUCUGCAGAUAUUUCCAAGGAGGCAGUUCCCACAAUGUCUUCAUGAAAUGUUUAUAGCUCCAAAUCUGUAAAACUACAUGAUGAAAAAAAAAACAUAAAAAGAAAGAGAGUCGACAUUUUCAGACCAAACCUUAUCUUUACAGAUCAUCUGUAUUUGCAUCACAAACCUUGAAAAGCAAAAGCAGAAAUAUAAUUAUUGACCCGAUAACAGCCUCAGAUCAGAUGUUUGUUUUCUCUCGGUGCACCGUGACCUUUUUUGCACCAUCGCCCAGCUGUUCAGUAAUAAACCAUCUGGUACUACUAGGACACGUCAGCCUGGGGUUAAAGGGCAUUUGUGAGGUAUGUAAACAUUGUUUUAACCUGCUGUCUUGCAGUGCAAACAACCAUCAAACCAAACAAUUAAAGGUCAAGUCAGAGCAUCAGCCUGCUAAUAUCAUAAACAUUUAGACGAGCAUUAAUCACAUCAUAAAAGGUGCAUUUUUUAUUAUUCACCUUUAAUUGAACAAUUUUAUCAACAUGGACGACCUCAUUGAGUGUAUUAACUACAGUAGAUAUCAGUCAGCUCUGUCUUUUAAGAAAGUGACCACAUGCAGGCUAGGCUACAGUGUUAAUAUGGUGACAUGUAACUCCUAUGACCCCACUUCAAUUAUGGGCUUUGUGAAAUUUUUUUGUUUGUUUUUACCAGGACUGAGUCUUGGCUUUAUGGGAGGAUGCUUCUUGUAAGAGAACUUUUUCAACCAGCCCAUAUUAUAGCCCUUUUCAGCAGGUUAACAUCGGUCUCAGAGGUCCCAGAACAGUCAAUUUGAAGCUUGUUGUCUAAACCCAUUUGUUUCCUGGAGUUCAGCCAGCCUGAAAACUCUCUCUAGUGAGCUCUACCGAGAACACGCUGUUUCUAUGGGCUGCGCCUGUCCACGCCUCCUUCAGCGCAAGCCACGCCCCUCCCUGUCUCUCUGGAAGAGAGGGGUCUUGGCUUGCCAUGACUUUGGUACCAUGAGCUAAUGUUUACACAGAGUGUGAAUGCUAGUGCUAGCCGUACCAGUUGAUCCAGAGUCUAACCCAGAAGGACGUUUCUGAAUGGUUAGUUACAAAUAUUAUGUGUCUCCAUAUUUUUCUUCUUUCUUUGUCCGUGUGUUGGUACACAGUGACUUACAUGUAGCUAGGUAACAUUAGCUCCUGCUAACGGUUCCAUCUCUGCUGUCUUCUCGUUACUUAGAGCUCUUUUUGGUGAAUGCGCAAUACUGUAAGUAUCGUUAUCUCUCAUGACGAUGUUCUUGCAGUCUACGGAAACAGACGUCUGUGCUGCUUCGUCCAGCCAACAACAGAGCAACUGCAGUACCUUGCUCGCGUUCCUUCGCCAUUCUGCGAGGGAGAAAAAUAGUGUCUGAGUGGAAACUUCUGGGGGGCAGAACAAACAUCUUGGGCAGGGGGGUCACCAACCUGGAAGGGAAGACUUAUCGCUGUCCAUGGCAUCACGGACGGUGUGAUAGUUUCAAUCCACUAGUGGAACAAGCAAGAGAGGGAGAGGAUAGAGUUUUUGUAGACAGGCUGCAGAUGCAUAUUAUUGUUAGAAAACCAUUCAAAGGUGAAUUUUGCAUAAUAUGGGACCUUUAAGUCUGGUUUACUCCUCUGUGUCGAACCUAUAACAUGGAAAUAUCUACCAUCGUCAUAUCGCUGUGUUCCAGUCAUGGAAACCAUGGCAACAGAAGAUGAACCUGAUAUAUUUGAGUUAGAUGUUGUCCAGCAGUUGAUUGUGCUUUAACGCUUGAAGGUGGAUGUUGAAGGACACAGACUAUAUGUCUGAUGAGGAGGAGGACAUCAGCAAUACUAGAAAUGUCUGAUGUCAAGCAGUUACACGGGUUUCUGCGAAGGGUACUAACUACGUGUAAUAUGAACUCUGAUGGUUAAGAUAAAAAUUGCUUGCAUUAGGUAAAGUUUGCAGAACAGAAUGAAGAGCAGAGAUUUAUGUUAGGAGGUUUCUCCAUCAAAGACCGUCCUGUUUAAUCAAGGUUAUAAAGAAAGGUCCUGUUGGUGUCUGAUCUGAACUGAAGGUGGUAAAAAAGCAGCAGUGACAUGAGGAUGUUCGCCUCUCUGCCUCUCUGCCUCUCUGCCUCUCUCUGCAGCAGCUCCGAGCUCUGUCAAACCUCUUCAUUGAACUGAGGGCAGUUUCACCUGACAGUCAGACGGUGUGGCUGCAGAGAACCUGCUGCUCGCUGACAGACUGCAGGCAGAAACCCGCCACGCCGAACAAACAAGAUGUGAACCUGAAAACUGCCCGGACAGCUGGGCUUUUCUAAUGAGGGUUUAAUAAUUGUAAACAUGCAAUUAAACCAAACAGCACUGAGCGGACAAACACUGGCUGCCAAUGUAUGGUCUUCAUUUCAUUCUUCUUUCGCAUGAGGCAGCAUCUGAAGUUUAAGGCACUCUCCCUCCUAGUGGUUGGGUAGUGUAACUACAGCUUGAAAUCUGCCAAUCUCACUCUGAAUUAGCGCUGAGUGAUAUGGGGAAAAGUUCAUCUCAAUAUAUUUUUUUCAUAUCAGUUGAUAUCGUUGUAAAUCACGAUAUAAAAAAUGAAAUUUCAUAGUGCUUUUUGGUAGCAUGUCUUUGUGUCUCUUCGACAUUUUGUUGUGUUGUGCGCCAGCGAAAGCAGACUGAAUGGUCGGCUGUUUCGGCUGCACAGGCGCCAUGGGCACCUUACUCCACUCAGGGUUUGAAACCUUUUGCAUUGUGCGUGGCGCUGCUUCAGGUGGUGAAAAAGAUCUGAGGUAUUCCCGACUUUGAGAACAUGUACUGUAUGCCAAUGUUGUCAACGAUGUCAGGGUCUGCAUUUCUGUAGGGGUAGCACACAUUUUCUUUUUUUCUGUGCUGUCUGCUUCACGUGUUUAAGUGCUAUGGUUGCGUGUAGCUGCAGCCCACUUUUACGCAGUUGUUUGCUACUUGGUUCUAAUUCAGCACAAUUGGUUCAGCCCGAAGCGAACCUGGAGCAACUCCUCUUUACAUUGGCUAUUUGUAUAGUCUACCAAAACAUGUCAGAAUGCCGACUAUCAAAAAGGAUAUUGACCAUGUUUUAUAUCGAUAUCGAGGGCAAUUAAUUUUCGAUAUAUAUCGUUCUUGUUUUAUCGCCCAGUCCUACUCUGAAUCAUCUUGUCCCGUUGGAGUCACUAAUACUCAGUCUUUUCUGGAAGUUCUUGAGCUCCAUCAUCCUGCAGCUUCCUCUGAAAUGGAUCUUUGAGGAACCGUUUUGAUUCUGAAAACCUGGGUGUAAGGAUGCCUAGCCCAGGUUCACACUUGAAAGAAUAGACGGUUCACACAAAUGGUCAGUUUGACAAGCUUUACUGGUUGCAGAUCUGGGUUACAGCUUCAUCAUACCACAAGUGUAACCAAGACUGGUCUGAGACUGUUCAAGUAUAUCAGUUGUUCACAUUUUGAAGCAUUCUGCUGGCAUUUAGUUGACCUGAAGAAGAGUCCAUGUAGGGUGAGAACAAAGGACAACAUAUUUUAAGGAGCCUUAGGUAUGGGGCAAAUAUGGGGAGCCCAUAUAGGGGAAUACCAUAGCAUUUGUUGAGGAUGGUUGUCGGAGGCCCCCGGCUCCAGCAGUCUAACACCAACGUAUCCAGGGUAUCUGAGUUGCAUGGCUCCAUCACCCUAAAGGCUGAUGGGAUGGGCUGAAGAAAAUUCUCCUAACACUGGGUCUCUUUUUUGCAACCAUUGAAUACAGCAUGUAUUAGCUUAUAGGGCCAGUGUCGAGCUUGUUGUUUGAGCCAGUUUAAUCCUGAACAGUGCUGGAUAAAGAACUGUGUGAAUUACCCUCAAAUAAUCAUGAUUUUUACUGACUUCCAGAGGAGGAUUCUCAGUUAACUCCUGUGCAGAAACUUCAAACAACACUAACUCAGCCUGUAUUUUCUCUGCGUAUUUAACACACCAUCAUGAAGCGAGAGCAGCAGAUGAUUCAGCAGACAACAGACGUCCACUUUAAUUAACAGUUUCUGCACAAACAGCGCAGGAGGUCCGCUCACCGGCUCGUCCGCUCCUGCUGUUUGUGUUCCUGGACGUCAGGCUGAUCUCUGCAGACAGUUAGCUGCACAGCAAGAGGAGACAGACCGAAGACAGAGGAGUCUGCACGCUGCUCUGUUGACUCCUGGAGGUUCAGUGUAGAGACAAAACCUCAUCAUGGAGCAUGGUCUCAUGAACUGAGAGCGUCACAGAUCGACUGUCACCAAAGAAACCCACAAUUUGGUUGAUUUAUUCAUUUUUUCCUGAGGAUAAACUGAUAAAUUUUGUUAUCUUCUGCUUUUUAGUUGGUCUACUUUAGAGUGUUUCUGUGUGGUCGCGUGACGCUGACCCUGCCCCCUUUUGUGCACAAAUGAGGUCAGCUGAUCUCCGUCCUCUCCUGUGACCCAGGAGACGACUAAGAACCGAAUCAGUCAAACAUUUACAGUGAGGUGACAGCUGCCUUCAUCAACUCCAACACUCACUAUCACUCAGUGUGUGUGUGUGUGUGUGUGUGUGUGUGCGUUGGCAGGAGCUCGGUCUUGUCUCCAGAGUGUUUGUAAAUGGGACAAUUACCCCAGUCUGCUCCUGUGACUCUGGAUACACACAACACAAGUGUGUGUGUGUUUCUGUGUGUGUACAUACUCUACAUGUGUAAUAGCAUGAGCAGCUGCCAAAACGAGUGUGUGUCUUUCUCAUUUAUUGUAUUUCUUGGCAGAGUGUGUGUGUUUUGGCAGAAGAUGUAUGACUCAGUGUAAGUGUGUGUGUGUGAGACGGGGAACAGAUGGGGGGGUUGUCCAUCAGCUGUUUAUUGUGCUGAGUCCUCACUUUUUCAUAAUGAAUGGACCUGGAGGACACACACACACACACACACACACACACACACACACACACACACACACACACACACACACACACACACACACACACACACACACACACACACACUGUUGUAGGUAGUACUGUGUUUUCUUUAUCUAGUAAAUAAACAAUAUGACAGUAUUUUAACACUCGGUAUCAAACUGCAGUAACAGUACUCCAAUAUGAAAGAGAUAAUAAUUCAGAUCUUUAGAGGGACUAUAAUCUACUGCAGACCUCUUAUAUUUCACUAAGACCACCAAACCUUCCUGUUUCACAUUCAUAACUCGGUCCCUCGUGACUUGCUCUUUUCCUCUUCUCUGUGAUAUUAACAAAGGUCUCUGUCCAAGCUCUGAGAGUGUAUCUUUGUUUGGGAGUAUAUAAAGGUUCAUAAGUACAUUUUUUGAGAUGAAUCAAAACAAUUGACAUGCCUGCUUUUGUUCCCUUUAACUGUCUUCACACACCAAGCGUGAGUAAAAUCAUUUGCGCCAAUGAGUUACAUGUUAAGUCAAUGCAAAGACGUGAUUAGACGCUCCUAGUACUCUGGCGGCACAAAUUGGGCAGGAGCUGAAAAUGUCUGAACCUGAGUGGAUAUUCGUGUCGCGGUAACCAAUUGGCACAAAGGUUGCAGGGUGACGUAUGAAAAUGGAGGGUUGUUCACUGGUAUCUAAAAUGGAGGACAAACUGAUCGUGUCAGUGUGUGGGUGCCCGAAUUGUUUGAUACCUUUUCUUUCAAUUAUCGAAACCGGAAUAAAAAGGAGCUCGCCUGGAGGAAAGUGAGUGGGGAGAUCGGAUUACCUGGUAAAUUGUAAAAAAUCUUUGUCAUUGGCGCGCGAAUGAAGCGAGUAAAUACUAUCCAUUCAAGCGUCUAGAUUUGGGUGAAUUAAGCGGGUAGAUGAUUUUACUCGCGCUUGGUGUGAGCGCCCGUAAGCGUCAGGUCAGCUUUGAGGCUGGUGGGUGUUACUAUUAACACAGCAGGUGUAACUCCCCUCCUUCUUCUAAGUCUUUAAAAUCCAGAAAACAGGUCUUAAGGUCGUUACACACUGGUGAAUUAGCGAUGCAAAAUAUUCAGCUUACGUCUUUUCCUAUACACACCUGGUGAGAGGCAAAUAUAAUUUGAUAUUAGCAUAAAAAUACGCCACGGGAGAAGAGACUGAGAGAGAAGAAGGAGUAACAAUGGUGACUACAUCCUCAAGUAAUGAUGACCUGGUUAUGGUUGUAAGACAAAUAAAUAACAAAAGAAAAAGAAGAAUCCAAGUGUCUGGGUACAUCCAAUACUGACUUUGCGACUGGAGAUGGGGGGGGCUCCACACAACGAUCCAGGGGCUCAAAUUGUAUCCCGAGAAAUUCCGACAAUACUUCAGAAUGUCCCUCGGACAAUUUCAAGAACUGCUCCAUCAGCUGACUCCACAUUUGCAGGAGAGGACAAAUUACGGAGAGCUGAUUGAUCCAGAGCAACGGCUCGCCACAUGUCUGAGGUAAGAUUGAUAUUAGGCUUUAGAUUUAUACAACAGUUCGUCUGCAAAUGUUCGCCAAAUUCACUUCAGAGGCGAAAAAAUUAGUAAUUUUUUUUCGCUCUGCGGAAGUUCAUAGCUGUUGUGGAAGCUUGCAUUGACUUUAUGAGGUUUUAAAAAAAAAAUUAAUUAUUCGCUUCGCAAACUCACUUUGCUAAUUCACCAGUGUGUAACGACCUUUAACCACUGUAUGAGUUACGUCAGUGGAUAUUUUGUUAAAUCUCCUAAAAUGAUCCCUGUGAACAGCAGAAAUGAAAGUGAAAUAUUGGAGAGUGCGCAUGAUGGAGAGUCAGACUUGAGGUAAAGCUGGUGGGUGAUACUUCCUAAUGCCUUUGAAUGCUGCUGUGCAUCUCUGUCAAAGUGUAAAAAACAAAUAAAUAUAUGUUGUGAUCUCUUGAGCCGCUAAUGUGGCCUCUUCCUAUCAAAUAUUUGUUUGUUAUAAUCUGAAUCUUGCCAAAGUAUGUAAAUAAAGUUUUCAGAUUUUUGUGGCUCAGUCAGAAGUUAAAUGUCCCUCUGAGAUUCAGCAGUUGUCAGAAAGUGUAAAUUCUCCUGUAAUUUUUAACCGUAAUUGAGGAAACGCAGCUGGUCCUCUCCUCAGUUUACAUUACGCGGUCACACGAACUCGUGUUUCCCUUCAUAAACUUGACUGUCACCUCCCGAAAUAAAACAUUUGGAUCUAUUUUAACCGAAGCUCAGCUCUUUAAUCAGGAACAAAAACCUUUAAACAACAAAACAAAUCUGCUGUCCGUCUUUUCAAGCGGCGGCCUCGUUUCCAGCCGUCUCUUCUCCUGCAGAGCCUUUGACGAUCAAUCUCACACAAACACACUCUCGCUCAGUGACACCCGCUCGCAAGCAAUCAGAUUUUCAGAUGUCUAAAUCAAGCUCUGUUUCAAAGAGUCUUUUUUUUCUAAAAUAAGAGAAGCUGAGCGGCUUUCAGGUGCUGCAGCUCUGAGGACUGAAAACUCUUCAGGGGAGAUUCAGAGCUCGCCUCCAGAGAGAUCGCCAUCUGUGAACAUAUGUGUGUCUAUGAAUGGAAAAGCUGGGUGCUUCUGGUGAAGUUAAGAUGUAUGGUGAUGAAUUACUUUAUCCCACAGACUAAGCAGUAGUUCGGAAUUAGAUCUGUUGUCACUUUGGAUCAGAAAAAUGUGUUACAACUUAAGGGGAUGUAAAUGAUGUUCCACCUCUUGGAUGAAGCCAUCUUUACGGAUCAUUUCAGAAUGCCAUUAAUCCGCUUGACUACUACUUGAUUGUUAAUCAGUGUUUAAUUAUCUUCCUGUAUCGUGUUUUCCAUCAGAUAAGUCCACAAUGUAUAGUUUCCAUGCAGCUGUGUAGCUCUUUCAAGCAUCAUCUGUUUUUACCAUGUGGAAUUUGCAAUCUUGCCCACUCCAAGCGCAACUUUCAGUCUUAGGAAAUGAAGCUGAUGUUGAAGUGUAAAAAACUGCAGUCCCGAACCUGAAUUUGCGGGCUCUUUUGAGUUCUCGCGAUUCUCACUGUCUGAAAUUUUGCCACAGAGUUCGCCUCAGAAGCACAUCUGGUAGGAAUUGGCAGACGGUGAAAAUCGACACCGUUUCGCUGUGGUGCCGUGGUGGAAAUUUGGGGUUAGGUUGCAAUCAAUACAGCUAUAGGGUUUCUGCUUGUAUACAAACAUACUUGCAGAAACUUUACACUCUGUGAUACGUUAGCAAAUUAAUACAGACGACUUUAUAUCAACACGCCUGAAGGAAGGGGGGGACAUAAUCACAAGACUGAUGGAUCUGUGUUUCUUUUGCAACAUCUGAAGCCAAAAUCACACAAAAAAGAAGAGAUGCAACUGUUAUAUAAGCCAGACGGCGAGUUUAGAGAGAGGCGGUGUCGUCUUCAGAGCCUCUUCAAACAUAUGAAGUGUGAUAUUUGCUUUAAUAAAACAGACCUGACUUGAAAAGCAAAGGCUAAUGUUAUUAAAGUCAUUCUCCCCAAAGACCGUCACGGCUAAUUUCUCUAAUUUUUGCGGGAAAAAAUCCUCCGAAUGUGCAGAGACCGCCUUCAUCUAUCAGAGGGGCGACUGUCGACCACGAUUAACCCACACAUCUCUGCUUUCAGGGCCUGCGAAUCUGCCGCCAGAUUCUGGCUUUUAACAAAAUUACAGAGGCUUGUGUAACCACGGCAGAGGUUUUCUCUAGUGGAAGAUUUGUGUUCAUGAAUUAUUUAUUUUUAGUUGUUUUUCCACAUGCAGAGUGUCUGCAAAGCUCCGAAGGAACACAGGCAACAAUGUCACACACCACUUUCAGUGUUUCUCUCCUUUUCUACCAGAAUCCAAACUGAGCAGUCGUCGGUUGAAGAGUGUUUUGCAGAGCAUAAAGGCGACUAAUGGUUCGGUAAUGCCUCUCGGAGCUGCUAUUGUCGCUUCAUGAGUCACGAAAAUCAACAAGCAGGAGAGAAAAGUGUCACCAGAAGGACACAAACAGAAGUCAGAGGCAGUUAUUGAAGUUAUAAAAGAGGAGGAAAAGGAUUUAAAGACGGCUCUGUGGGUUUGUUUUUCUGUCUCAGAGUGAUUAAGAACGUCCAAACAAAGGAGAAAGAGAGAAAGGAGGGAGACAGAUGGGAGGAUGAGAGGCGAACAGAUAAAAAACAAAAGAAGGAGAGAGAGAAGUGUGCAGCAGAAGGUUCAGAUAAACAGGCGGUAAGCAGGUUAAUGAGGCGACAUUAAACAGAAUGACAGAGUGAGGACGGUAAUUAACACCUUCACAGGCUGACCUGAGAUCUGCAGGUAGAGCUCAUCCAUUACAUAACGCACACAAACACAAAGUCAGCUUACUUUAAACUUUAAUGAUCAGGAACCAGAAACGGAGAACGUCUUUGUUCUGCAGCUCUGAGCCGCCGAUGUUUUCGGUGAGGACGGAGUUUGAGUUUGUGCUCCACGAAUGAUUGUUUUUAAGAGAAAUGGAUAAAUAAAGACAGCGGGCAUCCAGUUCAUCAGUCAAUACAGUAUUGAAACUCUCCAACUCUCUAAUAACAGCAGGUACCAAUUAAUUAAUGUUCAACCUUGUCAGAAAAUCAGAGUUCGGUGAGCUACAAAGCCGCACAGCCUGAUGGCUUGUUGGAGCACUGCAGCUACCAUAGCCUUGUAGAGUUAUUGAAUGAGUUAAAUAAAGUUUGACUUAUCUUACUGUUUUGUUUGGCUUAAUGCGCUUUGUAAUCCGAUGCGGCUUAUUUAUGAAAAAAGACGUGAAUAGACGCGUUCAUUGAUGGUGCGCUUGAUGGUCAGGUGCGCCUUAUAGUGUGAAAAAUACGGUAAUUUUGCACUUAGUUUUCUCAUACGCCCAGUAGCAUCAGAAAAAUGAUGUAUAAACAUGUAGACAAGAAAAACAUGAUUUUCGUUGGAGUGUGUCUAUGUAUCUACUGAACUUUGAUGAAAGGUGAUUUUUUUGACGGUUAAAUUAUUUAUAAAAUAUUUCAAAAACCUGUUUAUAGAGAUUCUGUCUGCAUGAGUGUUUGUGUGUCUCACUUUCAUUUCCUCUUCCAGUUUCCUGAUCACUGCUGAGUCUCAGGAACAAACCUGCGGGCCACAUCAAUCACUGUCAGACCUCCAUGACCGCUGACCUUUGACAUCAUUGUUUCGGCCCUGUAUGACCUCUGUGUGCGGGAUAAUUCUGGAUAAAAGCUGACGAUGCAACAUUUACGCUCAGGUAUUCAAAUCUUUUGAUAUUUGUUCACAUGAGGUUUCCAACACAAAGAAAAACAGGGACAGAUGGUACCAACGCUAAAAUAAUAACGAAAUGAAAAUACGUCCCAGACAUGCACCACUUGAUUGAUUUUAAGAUAAGUUUCUGGUGAGCUCAAGAUGAAAAAAUAACACGUCCCUCUAACGCUGAAAGAUCUUCAACGCAACAUAAUUGAACAUUUGGAAAGUGUCUGUUUUGCAGAGUAGUUCAUUGCAGAUUUUAUCUUUUCUGUCGUAUUUCAGUAUUUUUGAUCAGAUGUGACACAAAUUAAAGUUUAACUCUUUAAUAUUGUCAAAAUGACUUUAUUUUGUAUUUUCAUAGCAAACAAUGAUUUCAGUGGUUUUAAAUUAAAACAAUGUCUUUAUUUACUUUGAGAUAAACACAAGUAUAUUCGAGAAACCCUCAUACUCUUUAUGAAAUCUUUGGACCUGAUCUGUGAAAGGAUUGUGUCGCUUUUGUCUUAUUUAGACAGUGCAUGCAAAGAGUUAAAAUCAUCUUAAACUGUGCGGCAAAUAAAGUGUGCACUGGAGCUGUUUGCAUUAAUUCGAAGGAGCUAUUUUGGAUCAUUUUUGUGCAAAAAAACAAACAAAAAGUGACAAUAAAGCUUCAUGACGUCUAAAUAUCAGGACAAUUCAACAAAAAUCUCUAAAAGUUCUGCAGUUCUGUGCCGUUAACUCCAGUUUUGUAUUAUUAGAUGUUUUGUGAGAUAAACCGUCAGCAUCUCAACUCUCUGCUGCACAGAGCUGCACUGUGCACGCUCAUCCUGAUAGACCUGAAUCCUGUUAAUGCAGAUAUGUUGCACUGAAUGAAGAGGGAAAGUCCAACACAGAACAAAACUUCUUCAUCGUGAGAGCAGACAGCAGAGGGUAGAGAUGCUGAUGGUUUAUUCCUGCACACAAGAAACAAGAGCAAACUGCACAAAGCCGCAUUUUUGUGCUUAAAUAUCGUCAGGGAAAUUCUGGACCAUGAGCUGGAGCAGGUGGUGAUGCAUAAUUUUUGAUGCUAACAAUAUUUGUGAAGUCAUCAAGUCUGUAACACCAGAGGUAGAAAGUUGCAUGAGAAGAGGAUAGCCAAGCACAGCAAAAGUACUUUCAGUCCAAACUUGAGUAGCUGAGAAGUUGUGUAAAAGUACAGCGACACUGUCAGGUAUUUUCUCUGAUUGUUAAACAUUUCCAACAUUUCUCAUCCUGUCAAAUAUAAAAUCAGACGUGUCGCUGAAACAGCAGACUGUAUAUUUACACUCUGACUUCAAUCUUUGUGUUUUAUGGCUCCGACUCGCCUCUCUUUGAGCUGUCAAAAUCCACCGAUAGUCCUAACUCCCACACACCCUGAAUGCAGCGUGCAGCUGUCACUGAUGGCAGCACAGUCCCUCCCUCUGUUAACAAAUGUCUUUCACAUUUAUAUGUCUGGAUGUUCUUUUUUUUACUGUUGGCAGUUUGAUAAUUUUGCUCAUUUUGGAGGCGGCUGUAGCGGAUAAAUUAUUCUUACUCUUCAGUCUUUUGACAAGAAUUAAAAUAAUGUAUCACUGACUUAAUUAUCUGGACUCAUAGCUAUUGUCAGGUUGAUUAUAUAUCAUGUAUUUAAGCUUCCUUAACCCCACUGCUCCCAGUAAUUUUCCACUCACCCCUUCUCUGUGGCCACUCCCACUUCAUUAGUCUACUCAGCUCACCUGUGCACUUUCUCUUGCAUGCUCUCUUGUAGUCCUGUAAACUACCUAAACCCUUUAGUCCCUGAACACAACUCCUGCUACAGCGCUCUUGGUUUCCUCAAACUUUCGCGUGACUCAGACUCGUCACCUUUUCCAACCUGAACC
This is a non-coding RNA of Xyrichtys novacula (pearly razorfish), 14117 nucleotides long. Lineage: Eukaryota; Metazoa; Chordata; Actinopteri; Labriformes; Labridae. The record is from the annotation of a GenBank genome assembly.